UGAUCCUUAGGCGAAACCCCGAGAGCAAUUUCAAGCACGAUUUUCUCCACGUAUGUGGAGG
RNAcentral lists this small RNA (61 nucleotides) under Lactobacillus acidophilus. RNAcentral describes it as "crRNA_22". The record is from RNAcentral. Lineage: Bacteria; Bacillati; Bacillota; Bacilli; Lactobacillales; Lactobacillaceae.